This 522-nucleotide long non-coding RNA is filed under the name Populus trichocarpa (black cottonwood). RNAcentral describes it as "long non-coding RNA (PTRI_LNC001810)". The record is from RNAcentral. Lineage: Eukaryota; Viridiplantae; Streptophyta; Magnoliopsida; Malpighiales; Salicaceae.
CUCUCCACAGAUCUCCUAACUCCAACCAACUCAUGACACCAGACCACCACAUAAACACUCCCCUCCUCUUUGAGAUCAAACCCUCGGUGGUUUUUGGCGUUGUUUUCGACUUAUCACGCUAGAGAAAGCCAGUGAAACCUUUCGCCAACCGAAGCUUCAAGUCAUCAAUUCUCUCUCUUUGGCCAUCAAUCACCAACACCAUCACCAUCAUCAGAGUCUUCUCGCUAACAUCUAUCAUAAUUUUUCUUCUUUCUUUUUCAACAAUUCUCGUCAAAAAACGUCAGCCCCUCCAAUAGUUGUCGCGCAUGAGCUACACUCGCUAUUAAAAUUAAAGUUCAAGGAUAUUUUUGAAGUUUUCAUUGAAGUUCAAGGAUAUUUCAGUAUUUUUCCUAGCCAAGUGCAUUCAUGUAAAUUCAGGUACUUCUAGGGGUAUUUUAAUUUUUUUUACAUGUAUUUGUUUUUAUGUUUUUUGUAAAAUACCCUAAAUAAAUAAUAAUAAAAAAACGACGUGGAUCCAACGCC